Molecule: long non-coding RNA, 363 nt
Organism: Calidris pygmaea (Spoon-billed sandpiper)
Lineage: Eukaryota; Metazoa; Chordata; Aves; Charadriiformes; Scolopacidae
Source: Ensembl
AUGCGGCUCCUUUUUUCCCUUUCCUUUCUUCCAAAACUCUCCCGAGCCGUUCCUGCAAGUGGUUCUGUGACUCGGGAGCUGACAACAGCCGCAUGCAAAGGAACAAAGAACGAGAGUGACAAUUCAGAGUGCACGCAGAAAUGCAAGCCUGAAAAAGGAUUUAAAAGUUUGAUGGCUCUUUCUCCCUGGAAGAGAAAAUCCUAUUUCUCAGGGGGUUUAAGACCUCUAUAUACAUGUUUACCUCUGAAGUGGCGUAAAGAAGCAGCAAAUCUCCAGGUGACGACUGAUUGGUUUGUGACUGCAAGGAGUCAGGAGGUGGAUGGCGAAGCAGAUUGGCGCAACACAAGAGCGUGCAGCAGAUAG